UACGUAGGGUGCAGGCGUUAAUCGGAAUUACUGGGCGUAAAGCGUGCGCAGGCGGUUUGUUAAGACAGAUGUGAAAUCCCCGGGCUUAACCUGGGAACUGCGUUUGUUACUGGCAAGCUAGAGUGUGGCAGAGGGGGGUGGAAUUCCAGGUGUAGCGGUGAAAUGCGUAGAUAUCUGGAGGAACACCGGUGGCGAAGGCGGCAUCCUGGACCGAGAUUGACGCUGAUGCGCGAAAGCCAGGGGAGCAAACGGG
This 253-nucleotide ribosomal RNA is filed under the name uncultured bacterium. Its description in RNAcentral is "partial 16S ribosomal RNA". It matches the Rfam family "Bacterial small subunit ribosomal RNA", at positions 524 to 776 of the family's 1533-position model. The record is from RNAcentral.